UACAGAGGGUGCGAGCGUUGUUCGGAAUUAUUGGGCGUAAAGCGCAUGUAGGCGGGAUGUUAAGUCGCGUGUGAAAGCCCCAGGCUCAACCUGGGAAGUGCGCGCGAAACUGGCAACCUUGAGUGCUGGAGAGGGUGGCGGAAUUCCCGGUGUAGAGGUGAAAUUCGUAGAUAUCGGGAGGAACACCAGAGGCGAAGGCGGCCACCUGGACAGACACUGACGCUGAGACGCGAAAGCGUGGGGAGCAGACAGG
Molecule: ribosomal RNA, 253 nt
Filed under: uncultured bacterium
Lineage: Bacteria
Description: partial 16S ribosomal RNA
Rfam family: Bacterial small subunit ribosomal RNA
Source: RNAcentral